This 485-nucleotide ribosomal RNA is filed under the name uncultured bacterium. RNAcentral describes it as "bacterial SSU rRNA". It matches the Rfam family "Bacterial small subunit ribosomal RNA", at positions 8 to 518 of the family's 1533-position model. The record is from RNAcentral.
AGAGUUUGAUUCUGGCUCAGAACGAACGCUGGCGGCAGGCUUAACACAUGCAAGUUGAACGGGAUUUGAUGGUAGCUUGCUAUCAUUAAUGAGAGUAGCGCACUGGUGAGUAACACGUGGGAACAUGCCUUUUGGUGGGGGACAACAGUUGGAAACGACUGCUAAUACCGCAUAAGCCCGGAAGGGGAAAGAUUAAUUGCCGAAAGAUUGGCCCGCGGAAGAUUAGGUAGUUGGUGGGGUAAAGGCCUACCAAGCCGACGAUCUAUAGCUGGUCUGAGAGGACGAACAGCCACAUUGGAACUGAGACACGGUCCAGACUCCUACGGGAGGCAGCAGUGAGGAAUAUUGGGCAAUGGAGGCAACUCUGAACCCCCAGCCAUGCCGCGUGAGUGAAGAAGGUUUUCGAAUUGUAAAGCUCUUUCGGGUGUGACGAUGAUGACGGUAACACCUAAAGAAGCCCCGGCAAACUUCGUGCCAGCCGCUGC